This 120-nucleotide ribosomal RNA is filed under the name Tricholoma virgatum. RNAcentral's name for it is "partial small subunit ribosomal RNA". It matches the Rfam family "Eukaryotic small subunit ribosomal RNA", at positions 1636 to 1753 of the family's 1831-position model. Lineage: Eukaryota; Fungi; Basidiomycota; Agaricomycetes; Agaricales; Tricholomataceae. The record is from RNAcentral.
UCUCGUUGAUUACGUCCCUGCCCUUUGUACACACCGCCCGUCGCUACUACCGAUUGAAUGGCUUAGUGAGGUCUCCGGAUUGGCUUUGGGGAGCCGGCAACGGCACCCUAUUGCUGAGAA